UGAGUGUAAUAUUAAAUCUAAGAAUUCACAUUUUUUACUCGUUACAGUUAGCAUAUUGAUAAGAAUUAAUAUUAUUUUAGGCAAAAAUGUCGGUAUUUGAAGGCGGUGUCAGAGGAGUGGCUGCCGUCUGGAGUCCGCUCUUCAAAACCCGAAAAGAUCUUCAGCAGGAUAUAUGCACAUAUCUGACUGGCUCCCUACUCUAUACUCUGCAGCAGGUGGCAACGUAGAGAUGCUGAACGACUUGGACGGAUUAAAUCAGUGGGAUUAUUUAGUUUAUGACAGAACAAAAAGUCCGCGGAGUGAACUCCUCGUCAAUAUCUGGGAGAGAGUGGGAGAUUGGGCCAUCAUCAAAGACGAAUGGAAACUGGUCAAAGUAAACUCCAUUGUCCCUUUGAACCACACGCAACUAUUUGACGGCGAAAGCGGGCGCUCCGACGGGAGGGAUGUACUAAAUCUCGUCGCGAACAGUCCCGUUUCCAAGGCCCUACGACGCAACCAGCCCUCGACGCUCUCCGGAGGGAAUACGAAAUGCGCCGAGCAGAUCUAGACAUGACGAGGACCGCACUGUGCGCGAAUCGAAUAGCGACUUCGGAAGCUGUCCCAUUCCCUGGUCCAAAUCCCUGCAACGAGAAACCCUGCCUCUUCAACAUCCGGGAGGAUCCGUGCGAGUUCCACGAUGUGGCCAAUCAGCAUCCAUCGGUGGUCGACGAACUGAAGGAGCUCUAUGAGAGCCACGCCGCACGGUUGGUCAAAGAGCAAGACCAUGGCUUCGAUCCAGCUGCCGAGCCUGAGCUUUGGGGAGGCUGGUGGGCGCCGUGGUUGGAUUCAAGCUAGAAUGUUCAGCACGUCGAAAUGCCUAUCAGAGACAUCCUAUUCUGCCGUGAUAGCGAAGAUAGCAGGAAGUGCAAAAAUGAAGUUUUGAAAAACGGGCUCAGAGGCGUCUGACCGGAAAACUGUAUUGAAGGAAGUCUCCGUUCUCUGUCAAACUGCCACUACACUGUUAAAAAUCCCGGCGCGAAAUUCACGCUUACUCAGUUGCUAUUUUGACCACCUGUUCCUCUGAGUGCAUGGAUCCGGCGCGAAUUUCGUGCUCUGGCGGGAGUGAAAAUCUGACAGGCAAACGUAAAACGGAACUGCCGCAGCACGGAUUCGAACCCGAGUCGCGGCGGUGAUAGACGAGUGCGCCACUAUUUUGCCGUACGGCGCUCGUAUCAGGUGGCUCUGAAUUCACGCUACUUGAGGUACCUCAACUAUAAUUCGUCCGUCGUUGGUGAUAUUUACGCUCUGAUCUAUUCACUCAGAGUAUGGCGCGAAAUUCGCGCUGGAUUUUUUUUUUCACGCCGGCUAUUCACUCAGAGUAAAUCAUUGAUUUUUAACAACAUAAUCGCCCGAAAGACUCUUAGAAAUCGUUUGGAUGAUUAAAAUCGACCAAUUCUCUUUCAAUUGCAUACAGUGAGAAAUAGCGAUGGCUUAUGAACCAAUUGGUAGUUCAUAUGGAACACCACUAAUAGUAUAGUAAAGGCAACAUAUACUAAUAGCAUAUAUACCUUAGUUAUGGUAUACAUACCUCAGUAUGGUACGAGAUACCUUAUUAUGGUUCACAGAUCGAGAAUCACUACAGUUCAUUUAUAACUUUUAGUGGUAAUACAUAUGAACCACUAAUUGGUUUAGAAAGUCGUAAAUUUUUCACCGCGUGAAAGGGAUAUUACUCAUUUUCAUGUUAGGCUAGUAUUAGGCAAGACAGCCGUAAGUGCUCUCUUCUGUAUGCUAGGGUGGUUGCGUUUGCGUUUUGGUCACACAACAAACACAUUUUCUGAUUGGAAAUUGGCAGAAAAGGACAGCAUUUCACUUGAGAGCACUGUUUCCAUUGGCUCUUUAAAAGAUUAAUGUCACUCACUGCUGCCUUGCUUGAAACUACGUAAUUUUUUGCGCAUUCACGGCUUUCUCACAUGUCUCAUUUUGAUACACUUAAGAUGAAUUUUGCUGUUUUAGCUAUUUCAAUGGUUUCAUCUAAAAGAGAUUAGACGAAUUUUGAAGGAAACUCGAUUUUGAAAUUGACAUUUACAGCGCUCUUCCCUAUCACGGCAGUAUUGAUCACCUCAGGAUCCAAUGGGUUGAUUGAUAAAUCGUUAUCGCAUGAUCCAUGGUCGAUACGUCCCUCUCUGAGCAAUGCUAUCUAGCAAUCAAGGUCAACUGCUAACGAUUCAACGAUCCAGGCGCCAGGGGCGGAUCCAGCAAUUUGGCAACACAGGAUGUUCCCCAUUUAAACCUACGUUUAAUAAUCGAUUCAUGUCGGAGCACCUCCAGAAUCGAUACAUUUCCAUAAGUUUAAAUAGAGAAAAAACAAUGUUGCCAGUUUGCUGGAUCCGCCAAUGCCAGGCGCAGCGGGUCGAUCGAUGAAUCGUAAUCCAAGUUGUUUCUACCAAGACCUACCAGAUAUUUGUAAAAUAUCAAGGCGUACUCAGCGCCUUUUGAAAAUCCUCGUGGGCUUUGGUCAAAAACUAAAUUGAAAUGGCCAUGUCCCACACAAAACCUUUUGAGUUAUUGUACAUUAGGGUGGCGCGUUUUUGGACUUUUUUUUCGUUUUGAAAAUGGACAUAGCACAAUAGUGGCGAAAUGGUCUAAAAACAACGCCUGAAUUUUCCUGAAUUUUUUCGUCAACAUUUAGGCCUCCCGGAUCGACGUUGAAGUUAGAAUUUGCGGGAAAUUCAG
This 2712-nucleotide long non-coding RNA is filed under the name Bemisia tabaci. RNAcentral's name for it is "lncRNA ENSSSA3NGG006528". Lineage: Eukaryota; Metazoa; Arthropoda; Insecta; Hemiptera; Aleyrodidae. The record is from RNAcentral.